CCUACGGGUGGCAGCAGUGGGGAAUAUUGCACAAUGGGGGAAACCCUGAUGCAGCGACGCCGCGUGAGUGAAGAAGGAAUUCGGAAUGUAAAGCUCUAUCAGCAGGGACGAAAAUGACGGUACCUGCGUAAGAAGCCCCGGCUAACUACGAGCCAGCAGCCGCGGUAAUACGUAGGGGGCAAGCGUUAUCCGGAUUUACUGGGUGUAAAGGGAGCGUAGACGGCAGUGCAAGUCUGGAGUGAAAGGCCGGGGCUCAACCCCCGGACUGCACUUGAAACUGUACGGCUGGAGUGCAGGAGAGGUAAGUGGAAUUCCUAGUGUAGCGGUGAAAUGCGUAGAUAUUAGGAGGAACACCAGUGGCGAAGGCGGCUUACUGGACUGUAACUGACGUUGAGGCUCGAAAGCGUGGGGAGCAAACAGGAUUAGAUACCCGUGUAGUC
RNAcentral lists this ribosomal RNA (440 nucleotides) under uncultured bacterium. RNAcentral describes it as "partial 16S ribosomal RNA". It matches the Rfam family "Bacterial small subunit ribosomal RNA", at positions 338 to 795 of the family's 1533-position model. The record is from RNAcentral.